Molecule: long non-coding RNA, 379 nt
Organism: Neodiprion fabricii
Lineage: Eukaryota; Metazoa; Arthropoda; Insecta; Hymenoptera; Diprionidae
Exons: 3
Source: RefSeq, a predicted model, not a curated record
CACUGUCAACUUUGCACCUCAGCUCAUAAUUAUGCUGAGAAAGAGGACGCAGAGCGUGUGAUGAUCUCCAACGCGAGAGCGCUAGGGAGCACGCGCGAAGAAAGAAUGGCUCGACGACAACACCAGCUGGACUUACUGGAAGCUAGGAAUCCUGCACAAGGUCCCUCUUAUGGCCCUGGAAUCGAUGAUACCAUAUAAUCCAAACCGACAAAAUCGUGCUCACCGCCGAGCGCCUUUUUUUGGAGGUCGUUCAGGACAUCAUCUGCAGAGGCGGUGCACAUCAAUAUUUUGACACGAGUAAUACAAAAUUAUAUUCUUCAAAGUGUGCUCUUUCAGAAUUACUAUUACUUGUACUUAGUAAAUAAAAGCUGUGUCCACA